CUUUCUUCCUGCUCGCAGGAAUGAAAGCGGCUCUUUUUAAUGCCCGCACAUGUAUGAGCAUAAAAGCCAUUUGCGGAGCAAAUGUGCGAUAUGCGAAUACAUGUAGGAUUGCGUAAGUUGCGUAGCAACGAAGCAAUCCGUUG
This 143-nucleotide small RNA is filed under the name bovine gut metagenome. RNAcentral describes it as "Clostridiales-1 RNA". It matches the Rfam family "Clostridiales-1 RNA", at positions 26 to 159 of the family's 166-position model. RNAcentral also lists the same sequence under 1 other name. The record is from RNAcentral.